CAACUCUCAUAUUUUUUCCCCUAUUUCUUCAUGUGUAUACAAGCAAAACGGAAAGAGAGGAGGAGGUGGAGGUUGUAGGUAAAUAUAUGCGUCUAUGCAUAUUCUCUUAUCAUACUUCUCCCCUUUCUUUUCAACAAUUCUUAAGUU
Molecule: non-coding RNA, 147 nt
Organism: Caenorhabditis elegans
Lineage: Eukaryota; Metazoa; Nematoda; Chromadorea; Rhabditida; Rhabditidae
Source: Ensembl